Molecule: non-coding RNA, 24 nt
Filed under: Cricetulus griseus (Chinese hamster)
Lineage: Eukaryota; Metazoa; Chordata; Mammalia; Rodentia; Cricetidae
Source: RNAcentral
GUUGUUUUCCUUAAAUAUGCUUAU